Gossypium arboreum is the source of this 132-nucleotide non-coding RNA. The record is from Rfam. NCBI's taxonomy places the organism in Eukaryota, Viridiplantae, Streptophyta, Magnoliopsida, Malvales, Malvaceae.
UGUUAAAAAUUUCAUCCAUUUGUACGGUUUAAAACUGGUUUAACUGAUAGAAUAACCAAACAAUGACACGUACCUCGUGCUGAUGUACAUGGACCAAUUUUUAAUAGCAAAAAUGAAUAAAAUUUUUUAACA